CCUAAGUCAUUCCCUAGGCAAAAGCCAUGGAGCAGAAGGUGGGAGUGGCUCUCCAGAGAAGCAACUGCAGGUAGACCAGGACUACCUUAUUGCCUUGUCCCUGCAGCAGCAGCAGCAGCCACAGGGCAUGCUGGGUCUCAGUGACCUGGAACUGGCCCAGCAACUUCAACAAGAAGAGUACCAGCAACAGCAAGCAGUUCAACCUGUGCGGACCAGGGCCCCUUCAUCCCCGGUGAGCCUGCCCUUCUCCUGGUAGGCAUGGAGUGCCUACUGUUUCUGUAUGGGGCACUGACCGGCUUGAUAGAGAAUGCAUAUGGUCUCUGAACAGGUCUGAAAAGUUUCCCCCCAUAAUCUGUGCUACCAUUGAUGUUGAACCCCGAUGCCUGUGACCUCUACCAAGGUUAUUGGAUAACUAAUUGCUAAAUCUCACACAGGGUAGAGGAGCCACAUCUGGACGCCCAGCUGGGGAGCGGAGGCAGAGGUCGAAGACUGAGUCAGACUGUGUUCUGCUCUGACUCCGCCCCAUACAGCCUGCCCCGCCCCUUCUUUCAGAGGCCUUGACCGGCAGGACCCCGCCCCACCUCAAUCCUUGAGGCAUACAGGAUAACCUGUAUGCGCUAUUGGGGAUCAGAACAGUGGGUGCCAAGA
This 648-nucleotide long non-coding RNA is filed under the name Rattus norvegicus (Norway rat). Its description in RNAcentral is "long non-coding RNA NONRATT015559". The record is from RNAcentral. Lineage: Eukaryota; Metazoa; Chordata; Mammalia; Rodentia; Muridae.